RNAcentral lists this ribosomal RNA (468 nucleotides) under uncultured bacterium. RNAcentral's name for it is "partial 16S ribosomal RNA". It matches the Rfam family "Bacterial small subunit ribosomal RNA", at positions 28 to 507 of the family's 1533-position model. The record is from RNAcentral.
GACGAGCGCUGGCGGCGUGCUUAACACAUGCAAGUCGAACGGAAAGGCCCUGCUUUUGUGGGGUGCUCGAGUGGCGAACGGGUGAGUAACACGUGAGUAACCUGCCCUUGACUUUGGGAUAACUUCAGGAAACUGGGGCUAAUACCGGAUAGGAGCUCCUGCUGCAUGGUGGGGGUUGGAAAGUUUCGGCGGUUGGGGAUGGACUCGCGGCUUAUCAGCUUGUUGGUGGGGUAGUGGCUUACCAAGGCUUUGACGGGUAGCCGGCCUGAAAGGGUGACCGGCCACAUUGGGACUGAGAUACGGCCCAGACUCCUACGGGAGGCAGCAGUGGGGAAUAUUGCACAAUGGGCGGAAGCCUGAUGCAGCAACGCCGCGUGCGGGAUGACGGCCUUCGGGUUGUAAACCGCUUUCGCCUGUGACGAAGCGUGAGUGACGGUAAUGGGUAAAGAAGCACCGGCUAACUACGUG